RNAcentral lists this ribosomal RNA (374 nucleotides) under uncultured organism. RNAcentral describes it as "partial 16S ribosomal RNA". It matches the Rfam family "Bacterial small subunit ribosomal RNA", at positions 527 to 896 of the family's 1533-position model. The record is from RNAcentral.
GGAGGGUGCGAACGUUGUUCGGAAUUACUGGGCAUAAAGAGCUCGUAGGCGGCUGUGCAAGUGUGGAGUGAAAUCCCACGGCUUACCCGUGGAACUGCUUUGCAGACUGCACGGCUAGAGGAUGGUAGGGGAGAGCGGAACUCCUGGUGGAGCGGUGAAAUGCGUAGAUAUCAGGAGGAACACCGGUGGCGAAGGCGGCUCUCUGGUCCAUCUCUGACGCUGAGGAGCGAAAGCCAGGGUAGCGAACGGGAUUAGAUACCCCGGUAGUCCUGGCCCGUAAACGAUGGGCACUAGCUAGGGGUCUCCCCCCUGUGGGAUCCCUGGUGAAGCAAAUGUGUUAAGUGCCCCCGCCUGGGAGUAUGGUCGCAAGGCUG